UUCAAUCUGCCACCGGGUAGAGAUGCUUCGGCAUCCGUAAACACAUCGUUAGGUCUUUGAAGAUGUGUUCGCGGAUGCUUUUUUCUU
Molecule: non-coding RNA, 87 nt
Filed under: unclassified sequences
Source: RNAcentral